This 746-nucleotide ribosomal RNA is filed under the name Bacillus subtilis. Its description in RNAcentral is "bacterial SSU rRNA". It matches the Rfam family "Bacterial small subunit ribosomal RNA", at positions 8 to 736 of the family's 1533-position model. The record is from RNAcentral. Lineage: Bacteria; Bacillati; Bacillota; Bacilli; Caryophanales; Bacillaceae.
AGAGUUUGAUCAUGGCUCAGGACGAACGCUGGCGGCGUGCCUAAUACAUGCAAGUCGAGCGGACAGAUGGGAGCUUGCUCCCUGAUGUUAGCGGCGGACGGGUGAGUAACACGUGGGUAACCUGCCUGUAAGACUGGGAUAACUCCGGGAAACCGGGGCUAAUACCGGAUGCUUGUUUGAACCGCAUGGUUCAGACAUAAAAGGUGGCUUCGGCUACCACUUACAGAUGGACCCGCGGCGCAUUAGCUAGUUGGUGAGGUAACGGCUCACCAAGGCAACGAUGCGUAGCCGACCUGAGAGGGUGAUCGGCCACACUGGGACUGAGACACGGCCCAGACUCCUACGGGAGGCAGCAGUAGGGAAUCUUCCGCAAUGGACGAAAGUCUGACGGAGCAACGCCGCGUGAGUGAUGAAGGUUUUCGGAUCGUAAAGCUCUGUUGUUAGGGAAGAACAAGUGCCGUUCAAAUAGGGCGGCACCUUGACGGUACCUAACCAGAAAGCCACGGCUAACUACGUGCCAGCAGCCGCGGUAAUACGUAGGUGGCAAGCGUUGUCCGGAAUUAUUGGGCGUAAAGGGCUCGCAGGCGGUUUCUUAAGUCUGAUGUGAAAGCCCCCGGCUCAACCGGGGAGGGUCAUUGGAAACUGGGGAACUUGAGUGCAGAAGAGGAGAGUGGAAUUCCACGUGUAGCGGUGAAAUGCGUAGAGAUGUGGAGGAACACCAGUGGCGAAGGCGACUCUCUGGUCCG